Molecule: ribosomal RNA, 253 nt
Filed under: uncultured bacterium
Lineage: Bacteria
Description: partial 16S ribosomal RNA
Rfam family: Bacterial small subunit ribosomal RNA
Source: RNAcentral
GACAGAGGCCUCGAGCGUUAGGCGGAAUCACUGGGCUUAAAGCGUGUGUAGGCGGGCCCGUAAGUGUCUUGUGAAAUCCCACGGCUCAACCGUGGAACUGCUGGGCAUACUGCGGGUCUUGGGGCAACUAGGGGCAGCCGGAACAAGCGGUGGAGCGGUGAAAUGCGUAGAUAUCGCUUGGAACGCCGAAGGUGAAAACAGGUUGCUGGGGUUGCGCCGACGCUGAGACACGAAAGCCAGGGGAGCAAACGGG